UUGUGCCUACGGGAGGCAGCAGUGAGGAAUAUUGGUCAAUGGGCGCAAGCCUGAACCAGCCAAGUCGCGUGAGGGAUGACGGUCCUAUGGAUUGUAAACCUCUUUUGUCGGGGAGCAAGGCCCGCCACGUGUGGCGGGAAGGGGAGUACCCGAAGAAAAAGCAUCGGCUGACUCCGUGCCAGCAGCCGCGGUAAUACGGAGGAUGCGAGCGUUAUCCGGAUUUAUUGGGUUUAAAGGGUGCGCAGGCGGAAUGUCAAGUCAGCGGGAAAAUUUCGGGGCUCAACCCC
RNAcentral lists this ribosomal RNA (287 nucleotides) under uncultured bacterium. Its description in RNAcentral is "partial 16S ribosomal RNA". It matches the Rfam family "Bacterial small subunit ribosomal RNA", at positions 333 to 616 of the family's 1533-position model. The record is from RNAcentral.